RNAcentral lists this ribosomal RNA (480 nucleotides) under uncultured bacterium. RNAcentral's name for it is "bacterial SSU rRNA". It matches the Rfam family "Bacterial small subunit ribosomal RNA", at positions 29 to 526 of the family's 1533-position model. The record is from RNAcentral.
AAUGAAUGUUGGCGGCGUGGAUUAGGCAUGCAAGUCGCGCGGAGGUAGCAAUACCUUAGCGGCGAAAGGGAGAGGAAUAUAUGGAUUAUCUGCCCUCAGGAUCGGGAUAGCUACGGGAAACUGUAGGUAAUACCGAAUAACAUCUCCGGAUCAAAGGUGUGAUUCCGCCUGAGGAUGAGUUCAUAUCCUAUUAGCUUGUUGGUGAGGUAAUGGCUUACCAAGGCUAAGAUGGGUACCGGGAGUGAGAGCUUGACCCGGCUCACUGGGACUGAGACACUGCCCAGACACCUACGGGUGGCUGCAGUCGAGAAUCUUCGGCAAUGGACGAAAGUCUGACCGAGCGACGCCGCGUGUAUGAUGAAGGUCUUCGGAUUGUAAAGUACUUUCGUUUGGGAGGAAAUGUAGGGGGGUUAUCCCCUCUAUUUGACCUAUCUUAGGAAGAAGGACGGGCUAAGUUCGUGCCAGCAGCCGCGGUAAAAC